RNAcentral lists this ribosomal RNA (484 nucleotides) under uncultured bacterium. Its description in RNAcentral is "partial 16S ribosomal RNA". It matches the Rfam family "Bacterial small subunit ribosomal RNA", at positions 30 to 507 of the family's 1533-position model. The record is from RNAcentral.
AUUGAACGCUGGCGGCAUGCCUAACACAUGCAAGUCGAGCGGUUGAGGGGAGCUUGCUCCUGGAGUCAGCGGCAGACGGGUGAGUAAUGCCUAGGAAUCUGCCUGGUAGUGGGGUAUAACGUCCGAAAACGGGCUCUAAUACCGCAUACGUCCUGGGGGAGAAAGGGGGGGAUCUUCGGACCUCACGCUAUCAGAUGAGCCUAGGUCGGAUUAGCUAGUUGGUGGGAUAAAGGCCUACCAAGGCGACGAUCCGUAACUGGUCUGAGAGGAUGAUCAGUCACACUGGGACUGAGACACGGUCCAGACUCCUACGGGAGGCAGCAGUGGGGAAUAUUGGACAAUGGGCGCAAGCCUGAUCCAGCCAUGCCGCGUGUAUGAAGAAGGUCUUCGGAUUGUAAAGUACUUUAAGUCGGGACGAAGGGCAGUCAGUUAAUACAUUGCUGUCUUGACGUUACCAAAAGAAUAAGCACCGGCUAACUACGUG